GUCUCUCUGUAGAUCAGUGGUAGAGCAUCUGACCAGUGUACAGAAGGUCAUUUGUUUGAUUCUGAUUCCUAUUGGGGACU
Desmophyllum pertusum is the source of this 80-nucleotide non-coding RNA. The record is from the annotation of a GenBank genome assembly. NCBI's taxonomy places the organism in Eukaryota, Metazoa, Cnidaria, Anthozoa, Scleractinia, Caryophylliidae.